GAUGAAGAACGUAGUGAAAUGCGAUAAGUAAUGCGAAUUGCAGAAUUUCCGUGAGUCAUCGAAUCUUUGAACGCACAUUGCGCCCGCUGGUAUUCCGGCGGGCAUGCCUGUUCGAGCGUCAUUUCAACCCUCAAGCCCCCGGGUUUGGUGUUGGGGAUCGGCUCUGCCCUUCUGGGCGGUGCCGCCCCCGAAAUACAUUGGCGGUCUCGCUGCAGCCUCCAUUGCGUAGUAGCUAACACCUCGCAACUGGAACGCGGCGCGGCCAUGCCGUAAAACCCCAACUUCUGAAUGUUGACCUCGGAUCAGGUAGGAAUACCCGCUGAACUUAAGCAUAUCAAUAAGCGGAGGA
This 349-nucleotide unclassified non-coding RNA is filed under the name soil metagenome. Its description in RNAcentral is "partial contains 5.8S ribosomal RNA, internal transcribed spacer 2, and large subunit ribosomal RNA". The stretch from base 1 to 121 matches the Rfam family "5.8S ribosomal RNA", at positions 35 to 154 of the family's 154-position model. The record is from RNAcentral.